RNAcentral lists this long non-coding RNA (679 nucleotides) under Homo sapiens (human). RNAcentral describes it as "PREDICTED lncRNA (TCONS_00002421)". The record is from RNAcentral. Lineage: Eukaryota; Metazoa; Chordata; Mammalia; Primates; Hominidae.
UGCGCUUUUAACUGCUUGUGGUUGAGUGGCAGCAUGAGCGAGCUCUGCGUAUUCCAACCCGGCGUUAAGAAUCCUUCACUAGCUUUUCUUCCCGACGCUGCUUAUUUAUCUAUCGGUAGCAUGACGGGUAAUUGACGCCCUCGGAUGGCUUUGAGGUCGCCAUUUUUGGUUGGUGCCUUUGUCUUGGUGUCAGGACUGGGAUAUCAUCUGGGACACAUUACCCCACAGGUAUCCUGUUGGACCUCAACGAGGAAGUUGGCAACAGAGGAACCAGGAGAUGAGAGAGAUCGUCAGAUACCUACAGCCGCUGAGAGCCGGUAUUCCAACGCCAUGAGACGCCUUCUGUCGUGAGCAGUUGACAAGAAAGACCCAGCACUUACUGCAACCGGAAGGAGCGGUUCCUCCCUCGCUCGCGCAGCCGCUCUUCCCCGCCACUCCCUCGGUGCCCGCCAGCACAUUCCCAGCAAGCCCUGAGUAUAUUUGCAUAUCAACUCACUACAUUUUUUUCUUCUAACUAAAAAAUCGAAAGGACAAAUUCCAGAUUCUCCUUGUGAAGUCUUCCUUUCAGUUCAGAAGAAAUGGAAUUCGCUCUUCAACUUCAGGAAGUUGAAAUAAAGAGUUGCUUGGAUUUUGUGUUCACCUUUACCAAAAAAUGGAUUUGGUAACACUGCCACCCUGC